This is a long non-coding RNA of Hyla sarda, 404 nucleotides long. RefSeq lists it as uncharacterized. The record is from RefSeq and is a predicted model, not a curated record. Lineage: Eukaryota; Metazoa; Chordata; Amphibia; Anura; Hylidae. The transcript is spliced from 4 exons.
AAUAGAGGACGGGGGAGAGGAGGAGAGAGCCCGGCCCUGAUGACAGAGAAGUGGAGCAGCCACUGAGACCUGGCCAUGAUAAAUAAAUAAAUCCAGAUUCUCAACAUCUGAUUAUAAAUUACAGAAUUAUUUCUAGAUUUCUCUAUGGACCAGAACCCUGUAGACUCAUCAGACGAUAGCAGAGAUAUCUCCAGGGGGUUCUUCUACCUGGUCCCUUGUCUUCAUCUUGUAGAUAAAUAUCGGCAGAGACCUGAGAGCAAAGAGAAGAGAUAUUCAUCUGGAAAUGAAGAAUAAAGAAAUAUCUGAUGAACACAGAAGAAUAAGCACCCCAAUUGUUUUGGGCAAUUUCUCCUGAACACAGCUGUGAUCAUAGGCAGCUGGACACACAGCAAGACACAGAAAGG